CCCUGAGUCUGGGCCAACGCCAGCCCAGCCACAUCAGAAUGCGUAGCUCCCUCACUCGACCCCACGCCCCAGAUCUUUAAACGUCUGAGCCCGGACUGGGUGCCAGCCCUAUUGAGCCUAAGGAGCCCAGAGCCACAGUGCCUGUCACGUAGGCCGAGCCCCCUCGAAUGCUUUUGAAGCUGACCGCCUGUGGGCCUUCUCCGCACAGUCCUGCGCCGGGCUCUGUUCUCAGUAUUAACCAGUUCGGUGUUUGCUUUCGUCUGAGUGGCCGAUUCGUCCACGGCAGCCGGAAUUCCCCAGGGGAGCCCCUGCAGCUGCCCUUGGAGAUUGCCAAGGAAGAGGAAAGGCGCACCCACGCCUUUGACGUGGUCACGGCGCCACCUUCAGCCCCUUGGGAGGGGACACGUGUGGAUCUGGGAGUGGUCUCCGUGCCCACCCACCAUCACGACAGCAUCAACCGAGGGCAACCCUUGGUUGUCUGGCCCUGCUGCCCGCCUGGGGCGGUGUCGCUUGGGCAGAGGGCAGCUUUAAAGCACAAAACCACCGUAGGGAAGACUGUUGCUGGGACUUUCUCACGCCACCCAGUGUGGUGGAGACGCAGGCAGGCCGCUGCUGUGAAGUCAGAAACGCCCUGCUCUCUUCCAUCACGCGGACAAUGCCGACUCUUGGGGGCAUCCUCGGACGCAGCCUGGGCUGGGUGCAGGCACAGCCCCUGGCCUCUUCAGCGCCUGCCUGUGCCUGAUGUGUUCACCAUCGUGUUUGUCUGGACAGGGCCUGCCCUGCAAGAGCGAUCAUGCCACCAACUCCUGGAGAUUCUGGCCCAUCCCCUGGGCAUGGUGGCCUCUGGGGGACGAUCUGCAUCUUCGUCACCAGCCAAGACUAUUCUGAAAGCUUUACUUUCUGAGUCUUGCAUUGUGAAGACAAUAGGGUCUCUCUCUGCUGUGUUUUCCGAAUAUAAAACCGAGUUUGUCCUGUCAACCUACACAGUCCGUGCUGCUUAUCUAGACCUAUGGCUGUUGACAGGUGAUCCAGCCGGCCCUUCUUUUACAGAAGAUCCCACCCUAUGGGACAGAGCCCACUGUUGACUGUGGGAGGUGAUGAUUGGGCGUGACCAGCUGCAAGCCUGGGGGGUGUGGGUGAAACCAGAAAGUGGAGGCCCAGGAGCUGCUGAACUUGUCAGGAGCAGGGCCCUGGAACAGACUCCAACUGGUUCUACCUUGUGACUGUGCCGCUCCCCUCACCCUGCAGAGGCUUUGCCUCCAAAGGUGGUUUUUUCAAACUCAGGUCACCCUGUGUCUUGAAGAUGCCAAAGCACUUAGGGGUAGGGAGGCAGGAACACCAGGUGAAGGGACAUUGUUCUUUUAUUCUUUUAAUGUGGGAUUUGGUUCCCUCCCCCGCCAGACUGUACCAGUAAUAUCUGCUUAUUAUAGAAAAUUUGCAAAGGAGAGUGUGAAGCAGAGAAAUACUAUUUAGGAUGUAAUAGCACUUCUCAGAAUUUGAUAGGAGCCAUCCAUUGUCAGGCCUGGUGGCAUCAUCAAAGAGGGUUUUUUCCAACGCUCUCGAUUUACAGAUGAGAGGGACGGAGGCCCAGAGAAGCCAACAGAGUUGGCCCCAACCCUACCAGGACAGAGAUGGCCUGAUGGACUUCCAUUACUUCCCCCAUGUGGUCUCUUCCCAACGUGCCUGUUAACUUGGCUUGACCAACGUGAGGGGGUGACUUGGGGAGGGGGGGCAUCAGAACAAUCCCUGAAGUGGGUCCCGUACAGACACGCUUGACCCGAUUGUACUUCGGAGGUCAGGGAAGGGAACGUGAGUGUACCACUGUCUUGUGCUAUUCUCUGCUCACCUCCGUCUAUAAGAGGUGCAGCUGAUCAGGCCCCCAGCAUCAGCCGGCGGCUGCUGAUGUGAGAACCAGAGACCAGGCCAAGGGUAGUACGUGAGAAGAGCCCUCCGGCCAACGCAGACCUUUGUGUGGGCUUUAAUGCUGCCUCCCUCUGAGGUUUGUUUGCAAGCAGACCCAAGCGACUCCAGCGGCUGCACCAGGGCUGAGAGAAUGCUACGAGGAGCAUGGCCACCACCGAGAAG
This 2085-nucleotide long non-coding RNA is filed under the name Felis catus (domestic cat). RNAcentral describes it as "lncRNA (ENSFCAG00000051792.1)". Lineage: Eukaryota; Metazoa; Chordata; Mammalia; Carnivora; Felidae. The record is from RNAcentral.